CCCAAUCAGCCUUAUCCUAACCCCUGGCCAGCUCUAGCUCCGACGGCGCCAUCCAGAAACCAAGAAAGUGCCACCUGUUUCCUGCCAGGACCUUGACUGAGACCCCUAUUGCCUGGCUGCCCUAGAGCACCUUGUAAGUGCCAGAAGUUACUGGGAAGACAAGGGUGACUCUUCUCUCCAGGAAGAAUUUACACUAUCUCCUGUCCUCACAGCUGCAGAUCACAGCAGAGAACCCCAGUGCAGAAGAGAGCUCCCCAGUCAGAGAGCAAGAGGCCAUCCCCAGGGCUACAGGUAAAGAGCAGCAGGACAUCACGGAGGGCACGGCAGGGAGCAAACGCCCUGGAAACCCAGAAACGGAGACGGCCAGCGCACGCGUGAGCCUCAACACACCCAACACGGAAAUCACAGUGUCCGUGAAAGCAGCGCCUCCCCCUCUGCGCUCCCAGACUCACUGGGGACGCCCCAGCAUGCCUCAUCUGCGCCCCCUCUCCCUCGCUCAGCUCCUCCUCUGAGAGAUCGUUGUGUGUUUCUGACUUUACCUCCUCAAUCUUUCUCAAACCCAUGCCUUCCUCUCCUUCACCACUAGCUCCUGCCCUGUUUCAGGUCCUUCCGUCUCUCCCUAGAACUCCCCAUCCUCUCCUUCCCUGACUGGUCUCUACCCUGGCAAAUCUACCCUCAACAGCACAGCCACAAGAAAGCCAACCACCUGGCUCCCCUGCGGGAGACCCUCCCUGACCACCUAC
This is a non-coding RNA of Kogia breviceps (pygmy sperm whale), 743 nucleotides long. The record is from RefSeq and is a predicted model, not a curated record. NCBI's taxonomy places the organism in Eukaryota, Metazoa, Chordata, Mammalia, Artiodactyla, Physeteridae.